UUUACGUUUACUUUUGACAUUAGAUAUGCUAUACAAUGCGUCUUAACCUUUGACCCUAGGUCCUGGUACUGGAGGUUAGACAGCGGCAACUCCUUCAUGGUAUCGGUGAACCAUCUCCCCCUCAGUGCUCAGAAGAUGAGGGCUUCUUACCUGUGCAGUGCAAGUUUGUCAACACCACUGACAGAAUGAUAUUUGAUCUGUUACACACCUUUAACAGAGACCCAGAGGUGUUCCAGACCUUCAGUGCUUUCAGAAAGGCCUACCCAGAGCUCUGCUCUCUAGUUAUUGUUUCUGUGCAGACAGUCGCGGAAGAGAAAUGUCAAGCACAGGUGAUAGCCUACAUACCUCUUCAGUUAUAUCCAGGUUAAAGAUCUAAGCCGAGAGCUUUAGGUUUAAACACCACAAAGAGUUAUCCAUAAACUAUUACCAUUGUGUAUUUGCAUUUGCACCCCAGGGAGACUGUGAUUCUAAGUUGUGACAUUUUGUGUGCUGUUAAAAAGAUUAGUUUUGAGUUUGGUUUGUCUAGGUGUGGAGCUGCUGUUGGUUGAGGUGUACGACACAGCAUUUUCAGACCAGACUCCGGGAAGUACAUUUGCACAGUCAAACAUAUAUCGAAUCCUACAGCUCCGCAACCUUGUCAUCCAGUUGGCUGUCCAACCAAAUGUGAGAGUGAACGGGCUGCAGCUACUCAGGCUGGCAAUUCCUUUGUACCCUCCUGUGCUGAAAACAAGGCUGAUUCACUGCUGUGUGCACUUUGGAAGGUUUAAAUGCAGAGCACGAAUUCUGAGUAUGGGUCACCACAUUUUUUCACUUUCGUUUCAUGAUGUCUCUUUAGCAUCAGUAAAUCUUGAAUGAUAUUACUAAUAAACAUAAGUAAUGUUCAGGUAGUUAGAUAAUG
Long non-coding RNA from Cyprinus carpio (common carp), 898 nucleotides. The record is from Ensembl. Lineage: Eukaryota; Metazoa; Chordata; Actinopteri; Cypriniformes; Cyprinidae.